This is a long non-coding RNA of Branchiostoma floridae (Florida lancelet), 1017 nucleotides long. RefSeq lists it as uncharacterized. The record is from RefSeq and is a predicted model, not a curated record. NCBI's taxonomy places the organism in Eukaryota, Metazoa, Chordata, Leptocardii, Amphioxiformes, Branchiostomatidae. The transcript has 4 exons.
ACUAGAAAGACCAGGUGCCAGCCUCGUUUCAAGAUCACUCUGGGAUUGGCUGUCACUUUGCUGCAUGUGACCUGCGCAGUGGCGGCUGGUGGGUUGAUGACGCACUUCCGGGGAAGAAGCGGAAACAAAUGGUUCACCAUUAAGGCCUCCGUGGGCGGACAGACGUUCACAGAGGAGGUAGAAGUGGACCGGGAAAACGGUAUGGUGGUGUACCGUGAUGACGUCAACAAUAAAGAUGGGGAGGUCAUGCAAACUGAAGAGGAUGCCAGUGACGUACCAAGUUUUGACGUUGACCGAGUAAUCUUCGUAAACCGGUCAGUUCCGGUAAGCCCUGAAGAUGACGUCAUCCUUCGUUCACAACUGCCACCUGUGUGUCGUGACAUCACACUGUACCGUGUCCUUGAGUAGAACGCUCGAGAUAAUUUUGGGAGAGAAAGCAAAGAUGAAGUGAAAAUGGAGACAUCCCGAAGCCGCAUCAACCGGAACAUACCUAUAGCUAUCGAGUCAGGAGGGCCAUGCCAUGACAGCACGACUGGGUGUAUAAGGAUUAUUGAGGUCCAGGUUUUGCAAGAUAUAAGUCGUUCUCGACUUUGUCGACGUGCGAUCCGGAUGAUGUGUUUUUACAUGUUCAGGAGCAUCAUGAUAAUUCAUUAAUACGGUAAUUUUCAAGAGAAAAUUGUACUUUUCCGAAUUGAAAGUCUUUUUCAAUUAGAAGCGCAAUCUACAGCUUGUCUAGAAGUCAAUUAGAAUCAUAAGUAUUUAAUGUAAAUGGCUUCGUUUAAUAUCAGUUCCUCUUGCAAAACAGUUUCGUUUGGUUCUGUGUCUAAGAUUCCUACCUUUUCCGAUGUAGCUAAGUUCAGAGGUUGAUGAACUUAGAAGUUUGUGUCCAAGGAAUCCAUCUUAAGUGUUUAUUCAGUCUUUCCAAUGUAGCUUAUCUUGCACGAGUCCUUGAUUUUCUUUUACAGUUGCACUGAAUGUGAAACAAGCGUACGACUCUUCACUGUGUAAUUGAACUCU